This 636-nucleotide ribosomal RNA is filed under the name Triticum aestivum (bread wheat). RNAcentral describes it as "partial small subunit ribosomal RNA". Lineage: Eukaryota; Viridiplantae; Streptophyta; Magnoliopsida; Poales; Poaceae. The record is from RNAcentral.
AUGACGGAUCCCGCGGAGCACAGUGUGCGGACAGGAGAAGGCUACGUAGGCAUUAAGCUGGUAGAACAGGCUUUGAAAGGUCAGACAGGGAUUGGCAAAUCAUUGUGGAACCUUGGAAUUCAACCGGACACAUCAUGUAGUUGGGUUUCUCUAUUAUUGCCUUGUCUUGUUGAGCCGUUGUUUGGGAAUUCUUGCCUUCACUCAUCUCCUGCAGCCUUGCCUCAUCGCUGUGCCGGCUCCUACAACGCUGAUUCUCAUUUCUUCGUCCGUGUGUUCACCCGUUUGCUAUAUUCACUGAUUGUUUCUACCUUUGAUCCAGAAGAACUUUCAUUGCUAUUCUAUUAUUUAUUCAGCAACCUGUUACGAGGUGGAGUUUCUUAUUGUUCGACUGUUUCUUCUCACUCUACCAGCUCCUGUGCUGUAGUGCCACUAUCACUAGCGGUGGAUUCUAUACUCGUGUUGCCAGUUAUCUUUUUUGUUCUUGCUAUUUCAUUGACGGAACAAUUGCCGAAAGUAGUGUCUGAUAUGCAUCUUUUAUUGUUGUAUUGUUCUGCUACCCUCUCCUGGAGCCCGUCGUACUAUCAGAUUAUACGAAUUGUAAUCUUUAUCUCUUGUGUGCACACACCAUGUAACUAA